Molecule: long non-coding RNA, 546 nt
Organism: Bos taurus (domestic cattle)
Lineage: Eukaryota; Metazoa; Chordata; Mammalia; Artiodactyla; Bovidae
Source: Ensembl
GAGACAAAAGGGCAGCCUCCCUGGGGAGCACUCCAAUGGGUCCCUAGAUCUGAUAUAUCAAGAUUAAGACAUGAAAAUUUGGAGCAGAGUGACAAGAAAGGGUCUGGAAACACUGCAGUACUUUCUGAGUGGGAGCAGGGCUCCUCAUCGUUGUUCUGGAGGCUCGUUCCUCGGAGCUGGCUUUGAGAUCUGCAACAUAUUCAGUUUCUACAAGAUAAAUACAAAUUUUCCUGAAUGUUAUUUCUCAAUCAUCGGGGCCAUCUUAACUUCAUUCUAACCUUUUUAAGAUGUGAUAAGGAACUUUCAGGCCACAGUAGAAAAGAUGUGAGCACUAUGCUGGAAUUUAUGAACUGUAGUUGACCCCUGAGAGUGGACAUUCAGCAUUCGGAACUCCAGAAAACCAGUACAGAGCGAAGCAGCUCAAUACCUGAUAUAAUUGGCCAAGGGAGGCUUCUGCCCUGGACCAGAGUCUAAGCAGCCCGUCACCUCUCUUUUGUUUAACUUGCAAGCCUGACUGCCCCCAGCCCAUCCUCCCCACCCGACCCC